UACGUAGGGACCGAGCGUUGUCCGGAUUCAUUGGGCGUAAAGAGCUCGUAGGCGGCCACUCAAGUCGAAUGUGAAACCUCGAGGCUUAACCUCGAGCCUGCAUUCGAUACUGGGCGGCUAGAGUCUGGUAGGGGGAUCUGGAAUUCCUGGUGUAGCGGUGGAAUGCGCAGAUAUCAGGAGGAACACCGGUGGCGAAGGCAGCACUCUGGGACGUGACUGACGCUGAGACGCGAAAGCGUGGGGAGCAAACAGG
RNAcentral lists this ribosomal RNA (253 nucleotides) under uncultured bacterium. Its description in RNAcentral is "partial 16S ribosomal RNA". It matches the Rfam family "Bacterial small subunit ribosomal RNA", at positions 524 to 776 of the family's 1533-position model. The record is from RNAcentral.